GACGAACGCUGGCGGCGUGCUUAACACAUGCAAGUCGAACGGAAAGGCCCUGCUUUUGUGGGUUGCUCGAGUGGCGAACGGGUGAGUAACACGUGAGUAACCUGCCCUUGACUUUGGGAUAACUUCUCGAAACUGGGGCUAAUACCGCAUAUGAUCUCCUGCUGCAUGUUGGUGGUUGGAAAGUUACGGCUGUUGGGUAUGGACUCGCGGCUUAUCCGCUUGUUUGUGGGGUAGUGGCUUACCAAGGGUUUGAGGGGUAGCCGGCAUGAGAGGGUGAACGGCCACAAUAGGACUGAGAUACGGACCAGACUGCUACGGGAGGCAGAAGGGGGGAAUAUUGCAGAAUGGGCGGGAGCGUGAUGCAGAAACGCCGGGUGCGGGAUGACGGCCUUCGGGGGGUAAACAGCUGUGGAAUGAGACGAAGCGGGAGUGACGGUAAUGGGUAAAGAAGCAACGGCUAACUACGUG
RNAcentral lists this ribosomal RNA (468 nucleotides) under uncultured bacterium. RNAcentral's name for it is "partial 16S ribosomal RNA". It matches the Rfam family "Bacterial small subunit ribosomal RNA", at positions 28 to 507 of the family's 1533-position model. The record is from RNAcentral.